RNAcentral lists this ribosomal RNA (450 nucleotides) under uncultured bacterium. RNAcentral's name for it is "partial 16S ribosomal RNA". It matches the Rfam family "Bacterial small subunit ribosomal RNA", at positions 354 to 796 of the family's 1533-position model. The record is from RNAcentral.
GUGGGGAAUAUUGGACAAUGGGCGAAAGCCUGAUCCAGCCAUGCCGCGUGUGUGAAGAAGGUCUUCGGAUUGUAAAGCACUUUAAGUUGGGAGGAAGGGCAGUAAGUUAAUACCUUGCUGUUUUGACGUUACCAACAGAAUAAGCACCGGCUAACUUCGUGCCAGCAGCCGCGGUAAUACGAAGGGUGCAAGCGUUAAUCGGAAUUACUGGGCGUAAAGCGCGCGUAGGUGGUUCAGCAAGUUGGAGGUGAAAUCCCCGGGCUCAGCCUGGGAACUGCCUCCAAAACUACUGAGCUAGAGUACGGUAGAGGGUAGUGGAAUUUCCUGUGUAGCGGUGAAAUGCGUAGAUAUAGGAAGGAACACCAGUGGCGAAGGCGACUACCUGGACUGAUACUGACACUGAGGUGCGAAAGCGUGGGGAGCAAACAGGAUUAGAUACCCGUGUAGUCC